CCUACGGGAGGCAGCAGUGGGGAAUAUUGCACAAUGGGCGGAAGCCUGAUGCAGCGACGCCGCGUGAGGGAUAAAGGCCUUCGGGUUGUAAACCUCUUUCAGCAGGGACGAAGCGUGAGUGACGGUACCUGCAGAAGAAGCACCGGCUAACUACGUGCCAGCAGCCGCGGUAAUACGUAGGGUGCGAGCGUUGUCCGGAAUUACUGGGCGUAAAGAGUUCGUAGGCGGUUUGUCGCGUCGUUUGUGAAAACCCGGGGCUCAACUUCGGGCUUGCAGGCGAUACGGGCAGACUUGAGUGUUUCAGGGGAGACUGGAAUUCCUGGUGUAGCGGUGAAAUGCGCAGAUAUCAGGAGGAACACCGGUGGCGAAGGCGGGUCUCUGGGAAACAACUGACGCUGAGGAACGAAAGCGUGGGUAGCAAACAGGAUUAGAUACCCUGGUAGUCCACGCCGUAAACGGUGGGCGCUAGGUGUGGGUUCCUUCCACGGGGAUCUGUGCCGUAGCUAACGCAUUAGCGCCCCGCCGUGGGGAGGUACGGCCGCGACGGACGUAAACGUUAAACGGUAAAGUUAGACGGCGUGAGAACGUGCGACGGCGACGACGAGGGAGGAGG
This 613-nucleotide ribosomal RNA is filed under the name uncultured bacterium. RNAcentral describes it as "bacterial SSU rRNA". The stretch from base 1 to 524 matches the Rfam family "Bacterial small subunit ribosomal RNA", at positions 338 to 873 of the family's 1533-position model. The record is from RNAcentral.